This 465-nucleotide ribosomal RNA is filed under the name uncultured bacterium. Its description in RNAcentral is "partial 16S ribosomal RNA". It matches the Rfam family "Bacterial small subunit ribosomal RNA", at positions 338 to 795 of the family's 1533-position model. The record is from RNAcentral.
CCUACGGGCGGCAGCAGUAGGGAAUCUUCCACAAUGGGCGAAAGCCUGAUGGAGCAACGUAGCGUGGGUGAAGAAGGUCUUCGGAUCGUAAAACCCUGUUGUUAGAGAAGAAAGUGCGUGAGAGUAACUGUUCACGUUUCGACGGUAUCUAACCAGAAAGCCACGGCUAACGACGUGCCAGCAGCCGCGGUAAUACGUAGGUGGCAAGCGUUAUCCGGAUUGAUUGGGGGUAAAGGGAACGCAGGUGGUCUUUUAAGUCUGAUGUGAAAGCCUUCGGCUUAACCGGAGUAGUGCAUGUGAAACUGGGAGACUUGAGUGCAGAAGAGGAGAGUGGAACUCCAUGUGUAGCGGUGAAAUGCGUAGAUAUAUGGAAGAACACCAGUGGCGAAGGCGGCUCUCUGGUCUGUAACUGACGCUGAGGUUCGAAAGCGUGGGUAGCAAACAGGAUUAGAUACCCGGGUAGUC